UACGUAGGGUGCGAGCGUUAAUCGGAAUUACUGGGCGUAAAGUGUGCGCAGGCGGCCGAGCAAGUCGAGUGUGAAAGCCCCGAGCUUAACUUGGGAAUUGCGCUCGAAACUACUUGGCUGGAGUGUGGCAGAGGAAGGUGGAAUUCCAGGUGUAGCGGUGAAAUGCGUAGAGAUCUGGAGGAACACCGAUGGCGAAGGCAGCCUUCUGGGCCAACACUGACGCUCAUGCACGAAAGCGUGGGGAGCAAACGGG
This 253-nucleotide ribosomal RNA is filed under the name uncultured bacterium. RNAcentral's name for it is "partial 16S ribosomal RNA". It matches the Rfam family "Bacterial small subunit ribosomal RNA", at positions 524 to 776 of the family's 1533-position model. The record is from RNAcentral.